This 398-nucleotide ribosomal RNA is filed under the name uncultured bacterium. Its description in RNAcentral is "bacterial SSU rRNA". It matches the Rfam family "Bacterial small subunit ribosomal RNA", at positions 361 to 776 of the family's 1533-position model. The record is from RNAcentral.
AUAUUGGACAAUGGGCGAAAGCCUGAUCCAGCAAUGCCGCGUGAGUGAUGAAGGCCUUAGGGUUGUAAAGCUCUUUUACCCGGGAUGAUAAUGACAGUACCGGGAGAAUAAGCUCCGGCUAACUCCGUGCCAGCAGCCGCGGUAAUACGGAGGGAGCUAGCGUUGUUCGGAAUUACUGGGCGUAAAGCGCACGUAGGCGGCGAUUUAAGUCAGAGGUGAAAGCCCGGGGCUCAACCCCGGAACUGCCUUUGAGACUGGAUUGCUUGAAUCCGGGAGAGGUGAGUGGAAUUCCGAGUGUAGAGGUGAAAUUCGUAGAUAUUCGGAAGAACACCAGUGGCGAAGGCGGCUCACUGGACCGGCAUUGACGCUGAGGUGCGAAAGCGUGGGGAGCAAACAGG